AAGAAAGUGACUGCCGCCCCGCACAGGGGCGAAGCUAAUAGACCAAUAACAAAACAAGUUUCAUAGGAGCGCGAGCGGAUCAAACACCCCUACCCCUUCCACAUGAUAAAAAU
This 113-nucleotide small RNA is filed under the name Caballeronia glathei. RNAcentral's name for it is "Burkholderia glathei Burkholderia sRNA Bp1_Cand684_SIPHT". It matches the Rfam family "Burkholderia sRNA Bp1_Cand684_SIPHT". Lineage: Bacteria; Pseudomonadati; Pseudomonadota; Betaproteobacteria; Burkholderiales; Burkholderiaceae. The record is from Rfam by way of RNAcentral.